AACGAACGCUGGCGGCAUGCCUAACACAUGCAAGUCGAACGAGACCUUCGGGUCUAGUGGCGCACGGGUGCGUAACGCGUGGGAACCUGCCCUUAGGUUCGGAAUAACUCCCCGAAAGGGGUGCUAAUACCGGAUAAUGUCUUCGGACCAAAGAUUUAUCGCCUUUGGAUGGGCCCGCGUUGAUUAGCUAGUUGGUAGGGUAAAAGCCUACCAAGGCGACGAUCCAUAGCUGGUCUGAGAGGAUGAUCAGCCACACUGGGACUGAGACACGGCCCAGACUCCUACGGGAGGCAGCAGUGGGGAAUAUUGGACAAUGGGCGAAAGCCUGAUCCAGCAAUGCCGCGUGAGUGAUGAAGGCCUUAGGGUUGUAAAGCUCUUUUACCCGGGAUGAUAAUGACAGUACCGGGAGAAUAAGCUCCGGCUAACUCCGUG
This 432-nucleotide ribosomal RNA is filed under the name uncultured bacterium. RNAcentral's name for it is "partial 16S ribosomal RNA". It matches the Rfam family "Bacterial small subunit ribosomal RNA", at positions 29 to 507 of the family's 1533-position model. The record is from RNAcentral.